Gallus gallus (chicken) is the source of this 6522-nucleotide long non-coding RNA. The record is from Ensembl. NCBI's taxonomy places the organism in Eukaryota, Metazoa, Chordata, Aves, Galliformes, Phasianidae.
AAGAUGGCCUCAGCAAAAUGCAGCCCUUGGCCAAGUGUGCUUUUAUUGCAGGCUUGCUGUCCCAGACUGUCUCACUGCUCUUCUGUGACCUAUUGCAUCAUGUGUCAACCAGACGUGAUUCCUGGCAUGGGGUGCACCAGGAGGACCAGACCAGCCUCCUCCUGGAGCUCAGCCCUGUAGUCACUGCUAAUAGUUUAGCAACAUCUCUGUUGAGAGGAGAAGGCCAUGUUCUCUGAGUGGUUUGGGAGUCACUCGAUCCAAACAUAACAAGUGAUUGAUAGCCAUGAGACAGUCUUUCCUGGAGCAUCACCUACUAAGGCUACACCCAUUUCCCCCCCCCCCCCCCCCCCCACACACACACACUUUUUGUGGUUAAUGCUAUAUUUUCUUAAUGGUUAUUUUCCUUUGAUGUUCAAACAGCACCCAGAAUCCCAGACAGUGUGGAAAGAAAGCCCGUGCCUGGUUGAGUUGUUUCAGAACACACCUUCACAUGGGAUGCAGGAGACACCCCAGUACUUCCCAGCUGCUGGGCUGGGCUGGAAUCCUCCUUUCCUGGGGAUCAAUGAUCCAAAUCACAGCUGCCACAUCAGCCCUUCCCCACAUUUCAGUGUGGCCAUCAGGUCGCUGUGCUUAGGCAGGCUGAGGACUGGGUGCCGAAAAGGACAUGGAUUUGGCCUGUCCCAGAACGUACAGGAUAGAGUCACAUUUCCCAUGAUUUCUGGGGUCUGCAGCAAUAGUAGGUUCCUGGCACCCUCUAAUGGAAAAGACAAGUCACUGACUUGCUGUUCUGCCAGCCUGCCUUUCUAUUUUUAAUUUAAUACCCCAGUAAUCACUCCCAGCUGGGUGAGAUACAGCUCACACCAGUGCGGACCCACAGCAUGAGCUGAGCAAAUGUCAGGGCUGUGCAGGGAAGGAGCCACAGCCCCGAGCCCAGAACUGCUGCUUUACUUAUGGAAAUGAGAGGCAGGAGCUGAUCAGCUCUGACAUUUGUGCCUUGGUUGUGAAUGUGAGACAUGUGCUAUUGGGCUAACCGUGUUAUAUGGCCGGUCCUUCCCUUGGUGGUGUUUUGGGGCUUAUUUUUCCAAGCUUGGCAGCUGAAUCUUGGCCAGCGUGCUCUGGAGCUGAACAGAAUUGCUGCUUGGAUCAGAUGUUGCUUAUUUUAUUUAUUAUUUUUAAAGCUCUCUGCUUGCUAGGAUGUGAUGCAGGUAGCUGAGGUCCCAUACACAGCCCUUUGGCGGGGGUCCUGCUGGCCUUUCAGAGGCAUGGAAAAGGCCACGUAGGUGGUAUUCCUGCAUCCUCAGUGGAAGGAUGUUUGGGUUUUGGGAUCAGGAUUUUGGGGUCGGCGUGCAGAUCCCAAGUUGGGCCCUGCAGAAAUGGCAGCCCCAGGGGCUCUGUCCCAUGCACUGCCCUACCCAGACACUGCCUUGCUUGGGGAGGGUGCAGGCUGUAGGUGGGAGCUGACACAUCCAUGCCAGCGCCGAAGCUCUGGGUUUGCUGCCAGAUGCAAACAGGGCAAAGGUGGUGCUUCCCUUCAGCGAAAAGCUCCAGCAAAAGACAGCAGAAGAAAACAGCAAAGUGCCCCGAGCUUGGCCAACGUGCCAUUGCUGGCAGAGCAAAACUGGGGCUGCCAGGUGACAGAAACCCACGGAGGUCUGCUGUCCCUUGGCAUUGCUGAGCAUGGGGGGAUGCAUUUUAUUGGGGAGCUGAAGGCAGAGCUCUGGGAGCGAAGGCUGCUGCUGGAAUUGGGCAGCUGGCUUCUCAAAUCCCGUUAAAAUUCUUUUACUUUUAGACUCCGGGUUUCCACAGCAACAAAGCACACAGCUCUCUGCGGAGUUCGGGGCUAUAAAUAAGCCCUGGAUCUAUAGUUGUGAUAUUAGCUACGAGGGCUUUGAGGAAUCGCGUGUGGUGACGAAGCGAAGGGCUCAGUGCUGGAAGGAAAUGUGUUUAAUGAGGAAAUGAUGGUUCCCAGCUCGGUUUGGAUGGUGGUUUUCCUUUGUUCAAAGGCACCAAGCACAGCACCCAGUAUGGCCCUGCCUUACCCAGGGUGGCACUGAUGUCUGUAGGGUCGUUGGAUAUGGUGCCCCACAGUCUCUGCUUGGCACAGCUCUGCAUUUCAGUGUGUUUCUUACAAACAAGAGGUGGCCUUCAGCCACUUUCACAGCCCCAGUCCUUCUGGGGAAGCAAUGAAGCAGCCAAGACUGGAGCAGACCCUCAUAACCCCAUUCUCAUCGCAUGCUGCUGCCAUACAGUGACCCCAUGGCUCUGCUGUGUGUGCCGUCCCUAUUUAGGGAAGGACUUGAUGUGUGCUAACCUGAAGCACAGCUCUCAAUCCUAAUUGCUUCCCUGAGGUGGGAUUGCUGUGGGUCACGGUCAGAGGGCAGGAAUUUGGGGUGCAGGACCCAAAGGAGAGCUGCCCUCACCUCUCCACACCACCUCGUAAACAGAGCUGCAAUCCCAGAAGGAAGGGUAAAUACGAGCUGUGUUGGGAGCAGGGAGGAAAUUAAAUAGCUAUCACAUGGCAUACAAACAAGCUCGUCAGGGAGAGGGAAUUGGAGGCUUGGAGCUCACAGAACAGAUUUGUAGACAGUAGUGAGGAGGAGGAGGAGAUGAGGAAGGAGAAGAAAGGAAACACAAAUCAAGGAGUUAUUUAGAGUUUCCUCUGCUGCAGACAGAAGGUCCGUGUUAUUCAAACAGAUGUACUGCGUGCCACCGGUUCUCUUCUGUUUGUUAUUUUAAGGAUGGUCUUAAGAGGAAAAUAAAUUCCACUGGAAGGCUCUUUUAUACCCAUUUUAGGCAGUCUGUGGAGAGGAGCCCAAGGAGUGGGGCUGGGGAGAUUCCUCCAGGCUGAGUGGUGCUGCAGCCCCUGCAGCGAGGGAACCCACUGGCAGCACCCACUGCUGCUCCCCUGGCAGAACUAUGGGAAGGUACGGUCUGCUGGCACAGAGGUGGGCUUUGGGAAAACCCAUGUAAUGCUGACGUGGGGCUGCUGAUCUGUCAGUCUCUCCUCUGUGCCUGGAAAGAUCACGGAGCAGAUCCUCCUGGAAGUUACACACGUGGAAGAGAGGGAGGUGAUACGGGAUAACCAAGCCAUGACCAACCCAGUGCCAUUCUACAGUGGCUCAACUGUGUCAGUGGGCAAGGGAAGAGUCACCAGUGUCAUCUGUCACCUAUCCGGAGUUCAGUUGGGCCUUUGACACAACUUCCCCCAUAGCAUCCUUCUCUCCAAAUCAGAAAGAUGUGGAUUUGAUGGGUAGAAUUGUUUGGUGGGUGAGGAACUGGUUGUGAGGUGGUACCCAGCGAGUGGUGGUCAGUGGCUCAAUGGAGGUCAAGUAGUUGGGGCUCUGAGCACCUGAUGGAGCUGUAGGUGUCCCUGCUCGAUGCUGGGGAGUUGGAGCAGAUGGCCUUUAAAGGUUCCUUCCAAGACACAAGCUGUGGGUCUGCUGGUGCUUCUCUUAUCCUGCAAUCAAACGAUCAUCACGCAGUGGAGAAGCAGCCCUUCGAAGGUAAGACACAAAGAAGUUGGAAUCAAUGAGUAACACUGGAAAGAAGAGGCACUGCAGAGGAAGCAGGCAUCACGCCCAUUCUCCGAGGGCUCCUUCCUGCUCCCACUGAAAUCAAAAGGAGUUUUGGAGUUGGCACUAAUUAGUACAGCUGGCUGAAUAAUGCAUAACGAGCGGUUCAUUCAGCUAAUUUCAUCUCUUUUUUUUUUUUCCCUAUUCAUGAAUUGCCCGUGAACCAACCCCAGUCUUCUCAUUCUGGUUGUCGUUCAGGAGUUAUUUGUGGGCUUCUUCAGGAAAUAACCCAGCGUGCCACUGCAGCACACGUCUCAGCAUGUCAAUAUAGGAUGUUUGCACAGGGGUUUGAAGCGCAGGGCAGGUAGCAGGGAGGGCACAUGGCAUUACCUCUCACCGAGCUGAUAGUUUUGCAGCUAGCAAGUGUAGCACGGGUUCUAAACACUGCAAAGAAACACUGAAUAUUGAUUUUUGGUAAACAUUUGUGCAUGCUCCUUUCUUCCUUGCGCUUUCUCCUUGAAGGGAUCAAGCUGGUAAGUGCAGUUCCAACCCAAAGCCAAGAGGGGAGGGAUGUGAUAUGAAAACACCCCAAGGAAUGUCACUGGAACAUUCAAGUAAACACUUCCAGACUUUAUUUUCCAGAUGUGGCCGCAGCAAAGACCAAAUUAAUGCUGUAGAACAGCUGAUUCCGACAUCGGAUGUGGGACAGCAACUGCACCCUGGGAGCUGUGCACCCAUCCUGGGCUGCUGGGAGGGCACCCAUGGGGGGGUUGGAUCCAUGGCAAGGAGCUGUGGCAGCUCUGGGACGAGGAAAUGGAAAGUGAUUGCAAUGUGGUCUCGUUUUGCAAAGGGUCACCCAAAUGGGACUUUCCCGGGAGGGGGAUUAACGUAGGGGGGGAAUAGCGGGGCUGCGAUGGGGAUGGUGGGAAGGGGGAGGCGGGGAAAGCCAAGGAUGUUUGUUUUGCAGCGGUUUCAGGGAUGAAUGCCUGAGGAGGAAGGAAGCCGGGGGCAGUGUUUUGGCGUCCGGGGGCUGUGGGUUUUCGUGCUGAGGCGAUCCCCGUGGGGAGCCAGGCGAAGCCAGAAGGCUCUGAGCAUCUCCUGGGGCCGAGCAACCGCAACCCGGGGGGGGGGGGGGGGGGGGGGCAGCCCUAUCGGCGAUGCCUUCAGCAGGAAAAACAACCCGACAAACCCCGAUGUCGGGAUGUGUGCCCGGCAGAGGGCAGUGCCACCCGCCCGGCACAUCGCUGCCAUCUGCAGCCACCUCCGAGCCCCAUCCCAACCUUUCACCAUGCGAAAGACCAGGGAUGCUGCCGGCCCGACGUCUGGCUUUUCUUUUUUUCUUUUUUUUACGUUACUUUCUCUAUUUCUCAUGGUUUUUUUUUUCCACGCUCUUCAAAGCCGGGGUUUGUUUGUUUGUUUUUCAAAAGCAAGGGUUCCAAUCCCAGCAUCUGUGAGAAACCUUACAGGAAAUAACCCGUGUGCGCAGAAGUGCUCCAGUGUUCCACGCCGUGGCAAUGUUUGUCUUUCCCCUCCGUAUAACAACGCAGAUGGCACGCAAGGCCAUUGCUCGCUGCGUCCUGCCAGCAAAGAGAGCUUUGGGGUCAGAAAACUGCAGCCCUGUGGGGUUGUGGGAAUGGGAGAAGUGGGCGUCGGGGUGGUCAGAAGUGUGCAGUUUGGGUUUUGGGAAUGGGGAGCGAGCUUUUGGAAGAGGGCAGCCAGGAGGGGACAACGCUGAUGCCCUGAAAUGCCAAAUGGGUCAAUGCUUCUGCCUGUUUUAUGACAAGCGUUGAAGAGCUUCCUGAAACAAGCAGAGGAAUAUGGAGGGCUGGGAGAAAGGAGCCCUGUGGGCUGGAAGCUCUGGGCACACGGUAGGGCUGGGCAAUCCAACAGGCCUUUAGCCAGCAGCUUACAUGGAGUUCUCCCUUUCGUUUCAAUAGGUAGAGAUUCUCAUCUCCUUUUCACGCCGUGGAUGGAUUAUACCCUGAAAUAGCUCCUCUUCCAUGUGAUGUUGUGCUGUGUGAAGCAGGUAACUUCAUUUUCCUACGCCUUUGGGCAUUCCAGCAAUGCUGCGCCGAGUCCAACGCACACAGAGAUGGAAUUACGGUGCUGGAUGUGGCUGAGGUUGCUCUGCUGUGCUGCUUAAGGGAGGAGAAGCCCUUCAGCCGUGCUCCUUGUGAUGCAGCAUCGAGGCCAUGUGAGAACUACCCAGACCUUCCAGCUGACAGGUGAGGACUGAAGUAGUUGCAUCCAUCCAGCAUAGGUGCGACACGAGCUGCCACAAAGCUGAUCUGCUUUGCUCGGGGUGGUGCUGUGCCCUGCCUGCUGGCUAGCCAGGACCUCUCGGUGUCCUGCGGUGGAAUGAAUGAUACAUCACGCUCCUCUGGGCUUCCAAGGGCUUCGUGCAAAGCUGCUGCCGAUCUGAGGGAAGGCUCCCAGUUCACACGCUGCACUUCAGGUUAGAGAUUGCCUUAACGUGGUGUUCUCAGCACGGGUUAGAGACGCCCAUGGAGGCAAUGAAGCCACCAGAGGGCUCGGUGUCGUCACGCAGGCUGCCUGGCCCCCUACUCAGCGCAAUGCAAACCCUUCCUAAGGGACCGAGAGCGCUUCCUCUGCGUCUCCCUUCCUCCGAGGGACAAUACCGGGCAUGGCAGGAAAAGGAAGUCCGCGUGGUUCCCAUUGCACGACGGGUUGCUUGCAAGCAAAGAACAGGGGGAGGCUCUGGCACUUCCAAGGACCCUCUCGCAGCUGGAGCCGCACAGAAGCGGGGCUGCACGAUGUGGGGCGUUAUGCGACCCCAGUGGGCUUCUGCCUGCUGCUGGCCCUGCGUUUCGACGGCACCCCAACGAAUGCGGUUUGACGGGCUGCGAUGCGCCAGAAGGGAAUGAGGAAAGGGACCAACGAGCAGUACUGGGGGUUUUCGCCACUCGGAAGCCGACGGCCAAAACAACUCUGGUUGCAGACAGCCCCACUGUCACCGUCACCACGGCCCUUCAGGGCGUACACAUCCCCC